CACUCUAGAGAGACUGCCAGGGAUAACCUGGAGGAAGGUGGGGAUGACGUCAAAUCAUCAUGCCCCUUAUGCUUAGGGCUACACACGUGCUACAAUGGGUAGUACAGAGGGUUGCCAAGCCGUAAGGUGGAGCUAAUCCCUUAAAGCUACUCUUAGUUCGGAUUGUAGGCUGAAACUCGCCUACAUGAAGCUGGAGUUACUAGUAAUCGCAGAUCAGAAUGCUGCGGUGAAUGCGUUCCCGGGUCUUGUACACACCGCCCGUCACCCCACGGGAGUUGGAGACGCCCGAAGCCGAUACGCUCACCUUUCUGGAGCAGUCGCUGCGGGUGGAAUCAAUAACUGGGGCGCAGUCGUAACAAGGUCGCCGUAUCGGAAGGUGCGGAUGGAUCACCUCCUUUCUAAGGAGA
Molecule: ribosomal RNA, 407 nt
Filed under: Clostridioides difficile
Lineage: Bacteria; Bacillati; Bacillota; Clostridia; Peptostreptococcales; Peptostreptococcaceae
Description: bacterial SSU rRNA
Rfam family: Bacterial small subunit ribosomal RNA
Source: RNAcentral